AGGGAGCACAGAUCAACAUGCCUAUAUUCAACAACUACGAGAAGGUGUGCACAAUUUCUUUGCGACAUUUAUUGAAGUAUUGCGUGAUAGGCCCCCUGGUCAUGAUUGGGAGCUUGAACCUGGCGUUACUUGUGGCGACUACCUCUUUGGAAUGUUACAGGGAACAAGGUCAGCUCUGUAUUCGAACGAUCGGGAGUCCAUCACAGUCACUGUGCAGGAAGUGACACCUAGAUCUGUUGGAGCUCUAGUAGCACUCUAUGAGCGAGCUGUUGGGAUUUAUGCUUCACUUGUCAACAUUAACGCUUAUCAUCAACCUGGUGUGGAAGCUGGGAAA
This 334-nucleotide unclassified non-coding RNA is filed under the name Hevea brasiliensis (rubber tree). Lineage: Eukaryota; Viridiplantae; Streptophyta; Magnoliopsida; Malpighiales; Euphorbiaceae. The record is from RNAcentral.